Odocoileus virginianus texanus is the source of this 1723-nucleotide non-coding RNA. NCBI's taxonomy places the organism in Eukaryota, Metazoa, Chordata, Mammalia, Artiodactyla, Cervidae. The record is from RefSeq and is a predicted model, not a curated record.
AAAGCCGGCCCAUCAGGAUUGUGCUGUGUGAAGUCUACAGAUGCAGAACUGCUCCAUGAGGGAAAUCGGAGGCAUUAAUUGGGAGAAAUGGGUCUUAGAGGAUUGCAGUCACUUAUUAUCUGGAUCAAUACUGACCUCACAUCUGGUCUUCAGGACUUCACAGUUUCAUGGGGCUAUCUUCUGACAUAAUCAGCAGAUCUGAAAUAAGACAAGCUCCUAGAUGAAAGCAAUUAUCUGUAAUACCAAGAAUAUGAGAGAUGGGCAAAACAUAUCAAAGGUCCUCGUGAACCAUUUACAGGAGGAUCACAGUGGCUGCCAUGAAAGGAAAUGAAUUAGAAGGCAUGUCCAACGAUUGACAAUAGACUUCCCAGGUUUUGACACUCAGAAGCUUUGAGCUCGAAAAAGCUGCUUCCUGCUGGAGAGAUCAGGUUUUACUCGUCACUGAUAAACAGCUGGCAUAAGUGAUUUCAUCUUGAUUACAGCAGCCUGGGAGCCAGAUGAUCCAAGCUGAUGUCUUUGUUGUUAGAAUUCUUCUGCCCAAAGCAUUCCCAGGAAGCCAGCCUCUCCUUCCUCCAGGUCCUCAAGGGAAAGGCCACUAAAGAUGGUACCCAGCAUGAGCUCCAAAACUGGAGAUGCUGGAACUUAGAUUCCUCUAACUCUCAAGGGUGUUUCGUCUGGGAGAACUUGGAGGUCCUCUCAAGGGUGAAUUUAAAUGGGGAUAAAGAUAUGUAGGUGAAUGGGUUUUCCCUGGAGCUGGACCAGCCUUGGGGGCACAGCUUGAACUUGCUUUGUUCAAUCUCCUCACUGCCCCAUGUUGUGAAUAUCCACUUGUCUGUUUUCAAAACCCACUGGAAGGGUUACAACCUAUCUCAAGAUGCUACAAGUGGGACUACAAUCAACUUACACUGAGCGGGGGGUAUACUGAGAAUUGCUGAGCAUCGUAUAAGCGGCUAAUGGCCCAGGUGCAACUGGACACCCCCUUGAGCCAUUAUCAUGGAUAUAGAGAGGCAUUUAGGAAAGUAUCAGCAGCAGCAGCAAAUUUUGUCUAACACAGGUUUGCGAAAGGACCUACAUCUCUACUCAAGAAAGAUUGCUUCUUACGCAGUUAAAAUAAAUCCUCCAUCUGUCUAAAAACCACUUACAUAAAGCGCCCCCUUCUCCCUCGCCUCCGCUGGUUCUUCAUCUGUGGGCCAGGCCAGGCUUUUGGCCAGCUACACCAGGCCCAUGGCAAAUGUGUGCACAGCCAUGCAGAGCCCAGAGCUAGCUGCUAGGGAGCAAAGCCCUUAGUGGAUAGCUUGCUCUAAACAUACAGAGAAGCAACAGUCACAUGGGUAGCUUGCUUCUCCCAUAUCUGUUAGCAUAGAGCUCUAUUUGCACCCCUGCUGCAUGCAGUUUGGAAGUAGAUAGAGUCUGAAAAUAUUACAUGUGUAUUACACUCACCCAGAGCAUGAUCCUGAGCAGAAUAGAGCAGUGGCUUCCUUGAAAAGGGCUUAAUCUUCCAUCCUGCUACCUACACACAGACACAAGCUCGUUUGUUCCUUUAAAGCUUGAAGAACCUGAGAGGGUUGUUUCCCAGGAUGGAUUUGCAGGCUCCAGGAUAACCCUGGGGGCUCUUGGCUGCCUACACCCCAGAGGCUCCGGAAAUGAUAGUGGGAAGUGGCUGGCAGGAGUGAGAGGGCAUAUGUGUCCCGGGUCAUGGCAGAGCUCCCCCAGACACACAACC